UCGGGAUAGCUCAGUUGGUAGAGCAGAGGACUGAAAAUCC
This 40-nucleotide transfer RNA is filed under the name Aletris capitata. Its description in RNAcentral is "partial tRNA-Phe". Lineage: Eukaryota; Viridiplantae; Streptophyta; Magnoliopsida; Dioscoreales; Nartheciaceae. The record is from RNAcentral.